RNAcentral lists this ribosomal RNA (468 nucleotides) under uncultured bacterium. RNAcentral's name for it is "partial 16S ribosomal RNA". It matches the Rfam family "Bacterial small subunit ribosomal RNA", at positions 28 to 507 of the family's 1533-position model. The record is from RNAcentral.
GACGAACGCUGGCGGCGUGCUUAGCACAUGCAAGUCGAACGGAAAGGCCCUGCUUUUGUGGGGUGCUCGAGUGGCGAACGGGUGAGUAACACGUGAGUAACCUGCCCUUGACUUUGGGAUAACUUCAGGAAACUGGGGCUAAUACCGGAUAGGAGCUCCUGCUGCAUGGUGGGGGUUGGAAAGUUUCGGCGGUUGGGGAUGGACUCGCGGCUUAUCAGCUUGUUGGUGGGGUAGUGGCUUACCAAGGCUUUGACGGGUAGCCGGCCUGAGAGGGUAACCGGCCACAUUGGGACUGAGAUACGGCCCAGACUCCUACGGGAGGCAGCAGUGGGGAAUAUUGCACAAUGGGCGGAAGCCUGAUGCAGCAACGCCGCGUGCGGGAUGACGGCCUUCGGGUUGUAAACCGCUUUCGCCUGUGACGAAGCGUGAGUGACGGUAAUGGGUAAAGAAGCACCGGCUAACUACGUG